UUUUUUUUUUUUUUUUUUUUCUUUUCAUCACUUUAGAUAUAUCAUGCCACUCCCUUCUGGCCUGCAGUUUCUGCUGCAAAACCAGCUGAUAACCUUAUCAGAUCCUUUGUAAUUUGUUACUUUUUCCCUAACUCUUUGUCUUUAGUCAGUUUGAUUAAUAUAUGUUGGGGUGUGUCUCCUUGGGUUUAUUCUAUAUGGUACUCAUUGUGCUUCUUGGACCUAAGUGAGUGACUACUUUGUUAGGGAAUUUUUUGGCUAUUAUCUAUCUCUUCUUAUUUUCUCUGGCCCUUUCUCUCUUUCUUCUUCUGGCACCCCUUUAAUGCAAAUGUUGGUGCGUGUAAUGUUGUCCCAGAGUUUGCUUAGACUGUCCUCAUUUCUUAUUUUUUCUUUAUUCUGUUCUGCAUCAGUGAUUUUCACCAAACUGUCUUCCACCUUGCUUAUUCGUUCUUCUGCCUCCUGUAUUUUGCUAUGAUUCCUUCUAGUAAAUUUUAAAUUUUGUGUUGUUUACCACAGCUUGUUUGUUCUUUAAAUCUAUUUCUUUGUUAAACAUUUCUUAUAGCUUUUUGAUCAUUGCCUCUUUUUUUCCAGAGGAUUGUUUCUUAAAACAAUCUUGAAUCAUUCUUAUUAUCAUUACUCUAAAGUCUUUUUUCAUGUACAUUGCUUAUCUCCACUUUACUUAGCUAUUUUUCUGGGGUUUUGUCCUGUUCCUUCAUCUGCAAAGGAUUUCUCUGCCUUUUCAUUUUGGCCAGAUUUCUGCAUUUGUGGUGUCCUUUAUACAGGGUGUAGGGUUGUAGUCUCUCUUGCUUCUGGUGUCUGCCUCCUGGUGGGUGAAAUUGAUACAGGGGCUUGUGACUGGUUUCCUGAAGGAAGGGACUAGUGUCUGCCCACUGGUGGGGGGAGUGGAGUCUUGUCCCUCUGGUGGGCAGGACUGUGUUGCUGGGUGUGAUAAGAGUGCAUAUGUGCCUAGGAGGACUUUAGGAAGCCUGUCUGCUCAUGGAUGGGGCUGUUUUCCCAUCUUGUUUGUCGUUGGGUCUGGGGUUUCUCAGGACUGGUGAGUGGGGCCAGAUUUUUUGAAAAUUACGGCCUCUGGGGAGGUUACACUGAUGAAUACCUGCUAGGGCCUCUGCCUCCAGUGUCCUGCCCCCAGAGUGACCACAGCUGACCCCUACUCUCCCAGGAGACUUUCCAAGACCUACAGGUAGGACUAGCCCAGAUUUUUAAUUUUCAUUUUAUGGGGCACACCUAUAAAAGUUAUUGGACUAGGGUUUGAAUCAUAGCUACAUCUGAGGCCUACACCACAACCAAGGCAACACCAGAUCUGAGUCACAUCUGUGACUUACGCCACAGCCUAUGGCAAUACCGGAUCCUUAAUGCACUAAGUAAAGCCAGGGAUCAAACCUGAAUCCUCAUGGAGACUACAUCAGGUCUGUCUGUCUUUUUAGGGCCGCACCUGUGACACAUGUAAGUUCCCAGGCAAGGGGCUGAAUGAGAGCCAUGGCUGCCGGCUACAGCCACAGUAACAUGGGAUCCGAGCCAUGUCUGUGAUCUGUACCGCAGCUGAUGGCAAUGCCAGAUCCUUAAUACACUGAGUAGGGCCAGGGGUAGAUCCCAUGUCCUCAUGGAUGCUAGUCAGGUUCGUUACUGCUGAGCCACAACAGGAACUCCCUACAUUGGGUUCUUAACUCAUUGAGCCACUAUGGGAAUUCCUGACCCAGGGACCCUGGAGACCUUGCAAGAUCCACAGGUAGGAUGGCCCAGAUUCUUAUGGGCUUGCCCUGGGACCCAGUGCACAUGAAAAACUCUGUAUGUGCCCCCCCCCCGCAAGAGUAGAAUCUCUGUUUCCUCCGGAUCUAUGAAGCCCUUGUACUCAAGCUCUGCUGGCCUUCAAAGCCAAAUGCUCCAGGGGCUCCUCAUCCCUAUGCCAGAUCCCCAGGCUGGGGAACAUGACAUGGAGUUUGGAACCCUCACUCCUGUGGGUGAGCCUCUGCAAUACAGUUAUUUUCCAGGCUGUGGGUUGCCUACCUUGUGGAUAUGGGAUUGCUUUACCACGAAAGUGCCCCUCCUACCAUCUAGAUGUGGUGGCUUCUUUGUCUUUGGGUGUAGGAUAUCUUUUUUGGUAGCUUCCAGUCUAUUUUGUUGAUGGUUGUUCAGCAAUUAGUUGCAAUUUGAUGUUUUCAUGAAAGGAGGUAAGCUCAAGUCCUUCUACUCUGCCACUGUGUCUGGAAUACCCCUUGAAGAAUUUUGCAUAGACUUCUCAGUUGGAAGACAUUUCUGGCCAGAAUUUGCAAUGUGCUUCUUGGUUCUUUCUCUUCAUCCUUUUGAUUGAACAUCUAUGACAACUAAAACCUAAAGCCAGAGUUUUCCAAUUAGACUCAGAUAGCCAGAAAAUGAACAGAAUCAUUUAGCACCUCAUGGAAACAUAGUCAGCUGCUGAGAAGGCAGAGGCUGAGAUGCCCGGAUGAGGCCAGGGUAGUAGAGUGAAGAGUGGCUUCAGCAUGAGGGGUUGUGUUCCCAUUUCCUCCUCUUGGCCUGAUUUUCUUUUUUCUUUCCUCUCAUUUCCCAAGCAUUGUAUUAUUUACUUGUUCCUGUGGUCAUAACUGAGUAACUGAACCACUAGAAGGAAUCCUAUCUGAAAUAUAGCCAACCAGGAACAGACGAGCUUCAGAAUAGGUGAAGGAAGGGAGAUAAGUGAGAUAAAGAACACCAUUUAUCCCCCUUUAAUUUUACAGCUGUGGAGGAGUUCAGCCUUCUCUCACAAGCAUAGAAAGACAACCAUCGAUGAAAAGACUAGAGCCCACCAGCAAAGAUCUUCUAUAACUAAAGACAUAAAGGAGGAACCAUGAUGAGACAGGUAGGAAUGAUGCAUUCAUGAUAUAAGUCCCAUAUCCCCAGGUGGGUGACCCACAAAUUGGAGAAUAAUUACAUUGCAGAGGUUCUCCCACAGAAGUGAGUUUGGAGCCCCAUGUCAGCCUCCCCAGCUCAAAGAUCCUGCACUGGGAAGAUGAGCCCCCAGAGAAUUUGCCUUUGAAGGUCAGGAGGGCUUAAUAUUGAGUAACAGAGGAUGGGGCAUAGGUGUGGGGAGGGGAGAGACUUCAGUCUUAAAGGACACACACAAAAUCUCACAUGCUCCAUGGCAAAAGCAGUACUUUGAUAGGGUCUGGGUCAGACCUACCUGCUAGUCUUAGUCUCCUGGAGAGUUAGGAGGCCACUGUGGUGCACCCUGGGGACACAGACACUGGCAAUACCCACUCUCACCUCAUUCUACCACAGGGACACUGGUGCUGGUAGCUGCCAUUGUGAAAUCCUCCCUCUAGCUCAUCAGUGUCAAUUCCUGGCCCAGUGCCUCAAGCCAAGCAGCUAACUGCGUUGGGAACAUAGCUCUAGCAAUCAGCAAACAGGCUACCUUAAGACCUCCUGAGCCCACUUUGGACAUGGCCCUGCCCAUCCAGACAGAACAUCAAUAAGAAAACACUGGCUUAAAAUGACAGGGAGUUCCUGUCGUGGCACAGCAGAAACGAAUCUGACUAGGAACCAUGAGGUUGCGGGUUCAAUCCCUGGCCUCGCUCACAGGUUAAGGAUCCGGCGUUGCCGUGAGCUGUGGUGUAGGUGGCAGAUACAGCUCAGAUCCCACACUGCUGUAGUUGUGGCUGACAGCUGUAGCUCCAAUUGUUGGACCCCUAGCCUGGGAACUUCCUUAUGCCGUGGGUGUGGCCCUAAAAAGCAGAAAGAAAGAAAGAGAGCGAGAGAGAGACAGAGAGAGAGAAAAAGAGAAAGAAAGAGAGAAAGAAAGAAAUUAGGACAGAGGUUUGAUCUCUGGCCUUUAUCAGUGAGUUAAGGAUCCCAUGUUGCCCUAAGCUGUAGUGUAGGUCUCAGAUGCAGCUCAGAUCUGGUGUGGCUGUGGCAUAGGCUGGCAACUACAGCUCUGAUUCGACGCCUAGCC
This 3940-nucleotide long non-coding RNA is filed under the name Sus scrofa (pig). RNAcentral's name for it is "lncRNA (ENSSSCG00050021770.1)". Lineage: Eukaryota; Metazoa; Chordata; Mammalia; Artiodactyla; Suidae. The record is from RNAcentral.